Long non-coding RNA from Mobula hypostoma (lesser devil ray), 1134 nucleotides. RefSeq lists it as uncharacterized. The record is from RefSeq and is a predicted model, not a curated record. The transcript has 4 exons. NCBI's taxonomy places the organism in Eukaryota, Metazoa, Chordata, Chondrichthyes, Myliobatiformes, Myliobatidae.
GCCAGCUGAAAGCAGUGCGUUAAAACAGUAGCCAAAAAGAACGCAUGAGCAAUGAGGUGACAUGUUGAGACUUGACCAAAACAGUAAUGUCUCUGCUUCCUGCUUACCUUCAUCCCUGUUCUGGGAAAGAAGACUGCCAUUUUGAUUGAUGCUGUAAAGAGGUGGUAUUCAAUUAAUAAUAAGGCUGACACUAUGAAUAUCGAGGUAGCAUGUGGAUCAGAGAAAGAGGUCAUGAAGAAAUCUAUGAAAAAUGCCAGAGAAAAUGGUGCACAGUGUGAGAAGUAAAUCCACUGUUGAUUCCAUGGCUACAAUUCAACAAUUAAGUUCAAAACCAACAAGAAAAGUUCCAUCGUCCAAAAUGGCAGCUGUCAUCGAUCAGGAGGUAUAUAAGCUUGAAGUCCAACAACACUGGGCUCAAAAGCAGCUACGUCCCUUCAGCCAUUUGAUUAUUGAACCAACUUGCACAAUCCAAAUCACUACAACUUAGCAACACAAUGAACACUUUGAACACUUUACACUAAAAUUGACCUACUGGUUUUAAGAUUUCCAUUGUGUUCCUUUUUGUACAAAUUAUGUGUAAUUUACAGUAUAUUUCAAUGUUUAUCGCUCGAUGGUAAUGUGAUGUUGCUGCAAGACUUCCAUUGCACCUCUGCAUACAUACACUUGACAAUAAACGUGACUUUUGGCUGUCUUUGUCUGUAGAAGUCUGAGGUUUCGGAGGUGCUUUUUAAGCAGUUUUCCUGAAUAAACACUGUGCAACCUUUGGAGAGAAAUGGGAAAACAAAUGGAAAAUUGCAGAUUUUAACUGUUUCUUUUUUCACAGUUUCCGCCCUGCCUGCUGAGUGUAUCCAGCAUUUUUGGAUUUUAGUUUAGAUUUGCAGCAUCUGCAGAUUUUUUUCUUCGUAGAUUUGGCCUAUGUGGAAAUUGCACACUGUAGUUGCAAUGUCCUGGUUUUGGAGAAAGGUUAUAUCUUGUCAAGUUUCUUUCUUUGUUAACUAUCAAUUUAAGUAUCAAUGGAAACAAUAACUGAAUCUGUCUGGCUUAGAUUGAUGGGAUGGGUAUCAAAUUCAAAAUACACAAAAAUUGUUAUUAUUAACUAGGUACACAAUACGUGCCCAUUAUGCGUGUGCUAGG